CUGGGCUCUGGUGUCCAGUCAUGAAACGCCACUUCACAGACCACAGGGGAGAACAAUCACCAACAGAUGGGACCAGCCUUAGCUUGGCCAGCCCAGAGCCCACGGGGGAGAGUGUGGAAGUGUGCGGUUCAGGGACCGUGGAGAGAGAGGAGACGCCUUCACGGUCGGGGCCGGCCAUUCCCCACGAGGAGAACGUGUGCUUGGCCCACAGGGCUCCUGCGAUGCUGAGCUGGAGCGGCUCCUCAUCCUCCCGGUCCUCCUCCGAGUAUCAGUCUUACUCCCAGUACCAGUCUUGCUACUCCUGCCUGUACGCCGACGAGGACACGGCCCAGCGAAGUGCGUGCGCCUUCUACACCCACGUGCAGACGGUGCAGGGCGUGGCCGUGGCCUGGGAGACCGAGUCGGGCUUUGAGCCGGUCAGCCGGAAGCCCCGCAUUCACGAGGCCGAGUUCGUCAAGAGGCAGAGGAGGAAAGGCUCCUCCUUUGAGAUGGCUUCCAACAGCGACCUGUGCUGGGAACUGGAAGCCAGCAAGAGCCACUGCUGCCCAGAGCAGGAUGACGCGGAGCUGCUGGGGCCUCUGGAGUGCUGCCCGCAGGAGCUGCGGGACACCCCGGACUGGCUGGUCACCACGGACUACGGGCUGCGCUGCGUGGCCUGCUGUCGGGUCUUCCCCACGUUGGAGGCUCUGCUCAAGCACGCCCAGUAUGGCAUCCAAGAGGGCUUCAGCUGCCAGAUCUUUUUUGAAGAGAUGCUGGAGAGAAGGCGGGCUCGGGGCCAAGACCGGGAGCAGAAGCUGGAGGAGGAGGAACAGAGCCCUUCAGAGGGCAGUGAAUGUUCGCGGCCCCAGGCCAGGGCGCUUCCCUCGUAGGGGCAGCACGAGCAGUGAGCCAGAGAUUAAGUAGCAGCAGCUGGAGAUCCCGGGAAAAUGAUGGGCGUUCAGAAUAAAUGAAAGAUGACAGGAACCUUGGGGUGCCAAGAUAAUUCAAUGGGGAAAGAAUAACCUUGUCAGCAAAUAGUGCUGGGACAACUGGGUAUCGAUAUGCAAAAGAGUGAAGUUGGAUCCCUACCUCACACCGUAUGUAAACAUUAAAAUGAAAAAGACCUACUGCAGCAGUUAAAACUAUAAAACUCUUAAAGGAAGACAGAGAUGUAAAUCUCCAUGAUGUUGGAUCAGGCAAUGGUCUCUUAGAUAUGACACUGAGAGCACAAGGAAACAGAAAAAUAGAAGUUGGAUUUCACCAAAAUUAAAAACUUUUGUGUUCAAAGGACAUUAUCAAGAAAAUGAGAAACAACCCACAGAAUGGGAGAGAAUACUUGCACAUCCCACAUGACCUCUUAUAAUAAAAUACAAGCAUUCCAAUUAAAAGAUGAGCAGAAGACUUAAAAGAUAUUUCCUCAAAACAGAUAUACACAUGACCAAUAAGCACACGAAAAGAUGCUCAACAUCAUUUGGUUGUAGGAAUGUACAAUGGUGCAGCCACUUUAGAAAACAUCCUGGCAGUUCCUCAAAAGGUCAAAAAUGGAGUUACUAUAUGAUCCAGCAAUUCUGAUAAUUGAAAACAGGCCCACACAAAAGCUUGCACUUCAAUAUUCAUAGCAACAUUAUUUCUAAUACAAAAAAGUAAAAACAACCUACAUGACCAUCAAAUGAUGCAUGGAGAAACAAAACAUCGUAUAUCCAUACAAUGGCAUAUUUUACAGUCAUAGAAAGGAAAAAAAAUAAAAAGAUGAAGGUCCCAUGCUACAACACGGAUGAACCUUGAAAACAGUAUGCUAAGGAAAAUAA
This is an RNA transcript of Felis catus (domestic cat), 1787 nucleotides long. It is a transcript of the gene named family with sequence similarity 170 member B, with no coding region annotated. The record is from RefSeq and is a predicted model, not a curated record. NCBI's taxonomy places the organism in Eukaryota, Metazoa, Chordata, Mammalia, Carnivora, Felidae. The transcript has 4 exons.